GGUUCGGUAGCUCAGUGGUAGAGCGAGAGAUUGCAGAUCUCUAGGUCACGUGUUCGAACCACGUUCGGACCU
RNAcentral lists this transfer RNA (72 nucleotides) under Exophiala xenobiotica. RNAcentral describes it as "tRNA-Cys (GCA) (tRNA-Cys-GCA-1-1)". It matches the Rfam family "tRNA". From Rfam's summary of the family: Transfer RNA (tRNA) molecules are approximately 80 nucleotides in length. Lineage: Eukaryota; Fungi; Ascomycota; Eurotiomycetes; Chaetothyriales; Herpotrichiellaceae. The record is from RNAcentral.